GGAAGUGUGGGUGAGUGGCUGAAACCAACAGUUUGCUAAACUGUCGUACUCGCAAGGGUACCACGCGUUCGAAUCGCGUCGCUUCCGC
Molecule: transfer RNA, 88 nt
Filed under: Bacteroidia bacterium
Lineage: Bacteria; Pseudomonadati; Bacteroidota; Bacteroidia
Description: tRNA-Ser
Rfam family: tRNA
About the family: Transfer RNA (tRNA) molecules are approximately 80 nucleotides in length.
Source: RNAcentral